CAAUUUCUAAAGUGGGACGAAUUUCUUGAAGGGAAAUUAUGAACAUACAUAAUUGCAAUAUAAACCAAAUUUUACUUUCAAUGGAUCAUUACAAAUGAUCAUGAAUCCGUGAUUGAGUGAUUACCUCUUGUAGCGCAAAACCUUUGAUGGUAGGAACAAAGUUUGAUCACGAGUGCUGCACGAAAAAUAAUGCCUUUACUGAGUCCACAUAAGAAGAAUUCCUCUACUAUCAACUAUGUUAGCUAUGACCAAACAAAAUUUUUGAGAGAGACUGAUUUUAGAUCAGAAGCUUGCGCGGUAAGGGUUUCUCAAAAGUGAAUAUUGAAUAUUCUUUAGCUCAAAGGUCUAUUUAUUGACCUGGUUAUGUAACUGCAAAAUCGUGCCAUGUUAUGAGAAAUUAAUCUUACGUGUCUAGUGUCUUAAUAGAUAAAUCGUGUCACACUGCUGAAAUUUGUGGCACGAUAUGCGAGUAUUUUCGAAUUAUGCUUUUAGUGCUCUUCUGAUGGUUCCACGAUUGUCAUAGAUCAUCGCAUAAUAUUUCCAAUGAUGAAAUGAUGAUUAUAUGCACAAAAUUAUGUCAAAAGGACCAUAAAUUAUAGCACAACGAUAACACUUUAUUUCUG
Molecule: long non-coding RNA, 623 nt
Filed under: Medicago truncatula (barrel medic)
Lineage: Eukaryota; Viridiplantae; Streptophyta; Magnoliopsida; Fabales; Fabaceae
Description: lncRNA gene31367
Source: RNAcentral